RNAcentral lists this ribosomal RNA (484 nucleotides) under uncultured bacterium. RNAcentral describes it as "partial 16S ribosomal RNA". It matches the Rfam family "Bacterial small subunit ribosomal RNA", at positions 30 to 507 of the family's 1533-position model. The record is from RNAcentral.
AUUGAACGCUGGCGGCAGGCCUAACACGUGCAAGUCGAGCGGAUGAAGGGAGCUUGCUCCUGGAUUCAGCGGCGGACGGGUGAGUAAUGCCUAGGAAUCUGCCUGGUAGUGGGGGAUAACGUCCGGAAACGGGCGCUAAUACCGCAUACGUCCUGAGGGAGAAAGUGGGGGAUCUUCGGACCUCACGCUAUCAGAUGAGCCUAGGUCGGAUUAGCUAGUUGGUGGGGUAAAGGCCUACCAAGGCGACGAUCCGUAACUGGUCUGAGAGGAUGAUCAGUCACACUGGAACUGAGACACGGUCCAGACUCCUACGGGAGGCAGCAGUGGGGAAUAUUGGACAAUGGGCGAAAGCCUGAUCCAGCCAUGCCGCGUGUGUGAAGAAGGUCUUCGGAUUGUAAAGCACUUUAAGUUGGGAGGAAGGGCAGUAAGUUAAUACCUUGCUGUUUUGACGUUACCAACAGAAUAAGCACCGACUAACUUCGUG